GAUGAACGCUGGCGGCGUGCCUAAUACAUGCAAGUCGAGCGAACAGAUGAGGAGCUUGCUCCUCUGACGUUAGCGGCGGACGGGUGAGUAACACGUGGAUAACCUACCUAUAAGACUGGGAUAACUUCGGGAAACCGGAGCUAAUACCGGAUAAUAUAUUGAACCGCAUGGUUCAAUAGUGAAAGACGGUUUUGCUGUCACUUAUAGAUGGAUCCGCGCCGCAUUAGCUAGUUGGUAAGGUAACGGCUUACCAAGGCAACGAUGCGUAGCCGACCUGAGAGGGUGAUCGGCCACACUGGAACUGAGACACGGUCCAGACUCCUACGGGAGGCAGCAGUAGGGAAUCUUCCGCAAUGAGCGAAAGCCUGACGGAGCAACGCCGCGUGAGUGAUGAAGGUCUUCGGAUCGUAAAACUCUGUUAUUAGGGAAGAACAAAUGUGUAAGUAACUAUGCACGUCUUGACGGUACCUAAUCAGAAAGCCACGGCUAACUACGUG
RNAcentral lists this ribosomal RNA (497 nucleotides) under uncultured bacterium. RNAcentral describes it as "partial 16S ribosomal RNA". It matches the Rfam family "Bacterial small subunit ribosomal RNA", at positions 28 to 507 of the family's 1533-position model. The record is from RNAcentral.